CCACGCAGUAAACGAUGAUAGCUCGUUGUCGGCGAUACACAGUCGGUGACUAAGAGAAAUCGAUAAGCUAUCCACCUGGGGAGUACGUUCGCAAGAAUGAAACUCAAAGGAAUUGACGGGGGCCCGCACAAGCGGAGGAACAUGUGGUUUAAUUCGAUGAUACGCGAGGAACCUUACCCGGGCUUGAAAGUUACUGACGGACUUGGAAACAGGUCUUCCCUUCGGGGCAGGAAACUAGGUGCUGCAUGGUUGU
Molecule: ribosomal RNA, 253 nt
Filed under: uncultured bacterium
Lineage: Bacteria
Description: partial 16S ribosomal RNA
Rfam family: Bacterial small subunit ribosomal RNA
Source: RNAcentral